CCUACGGGUGGCAGCAGUGGGGAAUAUUGGACAAUGGGGGGAACCCUGAUCCAGCCAUGCCGCGUGUGUGAAGAAGGCCCUCGGGUUGUAAAGCACUUUCAGUGAGGAAGAACGCCUGGUGGUUAAUACCCAUCAGGAAAGACAUCACUCACAGAAGAAGCACCGGCUAACUCCGUGCCAGCAGCCGCGGUAAUACGGAGGGUGCGAGCGUUAAUCGGAAUUACUGGGCGUAAAGCGCGCGUAGGUGGCUUGAUAAGCCGGUUGUGAAAGCCCCGGGCUCAACCUGGGAACGGCAUCCGGAACUGUCAAGCUAGAGUGCAGGAGAGGAAGGUAGAAUUCCAGGUGUAGCGGUGAAAUGCGUAGAGAUCGGGAGGAAUACCAGUGGCGAAGGCGGCCUUCUGGACUGACACUGACACUGAGGUGCGAAAGCGUGGGUAGCAAACAGGAUUAGAUACCCGUGUAGUC
Molecule: ribosomal RNA, 465 nt
Filed under: Vreelandella stevensii
Lineage: Bacteria; Pseudomonadati; Pseudomonadota; Gammaproteobacteria; Oceanospirillales; Halomonadaceae
Description: partial 16S ribosomal RNA
Rfam family: Bacterial small subunit ribosomal RNA
Source: RNAcentral